GUGAGGAAUAUUGGUCAAUGGGCGCAAGCCUGAACCAGCAAUGCCGCGUGUGGGACGACAGGGCUUCGCCUUGUAAACCACUGUCGGAUGGGACGAAAAGAGGUAGGAACCUCCGGGACGGUACCAUCAAAGGAAGGGUCGGCUAACUACGUGCCAGCAGCCGCGGUAAUACGUAGGACCCAAGCGUUGUCCGGAUUUACUGGGUAUAAAGGGUGCGUAGGCGGUCUUGUGCGUCAGAGGUGAAAUAUCCGGGCUUAACCCGGAGGGUGCCUUUGAUACGGCAGGACUUGAGUGCGAGAGAGGAUGAUGGAAUUCCUGGUGUAGCGGUGAAAUGCGUAGAUAUCAGGAGGAACACCGGUGGCGAAGGCGGUCAUCUGGCUCGUAACUGACGCUGAGGCACGAAAGCGCGGGGAUCAAACAGGAUUAGAAACCCUUGUAGUCC
This 442-nucleotide ribosomal RNA is filed under the name uncultured bacterium. Its description in RNAcentral is "bacterial SSU rRNA". It matches the Rfam family "Bacterial small subunit ribosomal RNA", at positions 354 to 796 of the family's 1533-position model. The record is from RNAcentral.